This 98-nucleotide vault RNA is filed under the name Oncorhynchus tshawytscha (Chinook salmon). It matches the Rfam family "Vault RNA". Rfam says of the family: This family of RNAs are found as part of the enigmatic vault ribonucleoprotein complex. The record is from Rfam by way of RNAcentral. Lineage: Eukaryota; Metazoa; Chordata; Actinopteri; Salmoniformes; Salmonidae.
GCCUGGUGUAGCUCAGUGGUUACUUCUGAAAACUUUCUCUAUAAGAAAUGUUCUACACCUCUGCAAAGGGUUCGAACCGGGCGCUGUCCAGUGUUUUG